UACGUAGGGUGCAAGCGUUAAUCGGAAUUACUGGGCGUAAAGCGUGCGCAGGCGGUUUUGUAAGUCUGUCGUGAAAGCCCCGGGCUUAACCUGGGAAUUGCGAUGGAGACUGCAAGGCUUGAAUCUGGCAGAGGGGGGUAGAAUUCCACGUGUAGCAGUGAAAUGCGUAGAGAUGUGGAGGAACACCGAUGGCGAAGGCAGCCCCCUGGGCCAACACUGACGCUCAGGCACGAAAGCGUGGGGAGCAAACAGG
RNAcentral lists this ribosomal RNA (253 nucleotides) under uncultured bacterium. RNAcentral's name for it is "partial 16S ribosomal RNA". It matches the Rfam family "Bacterial small subunit ribosomal RNA", at positions 524 to 776 of the family's 1533-position model. The record is from RNAcentral.